GAAGAACCUUACCAGGCCUUGACAUGCAGAGAACUUUCCAGAGAUGGAUUGGUGCCUUCGGGAACUCUGACACAGGUGCUGCAUGGCGGUCGUCAGCUCGUGUCGUGAGAUGUUGGGUUAAGUCCCGUAACGAGCGCAACCCUUGUCCUUAGUUACCAGCACGUUAAGGUGGGCACUCUAAGGAGACUGCCGGUGACAAACCGGAGGAAGGUGGGGAUGACGUCAAGUCAUCAUGGCCCUUACGGCCUGGGCUACACACGUGCUACAAUGGUCGGUACAAAGGGUUGCCAAGCCGCGAGGUGGAGCUAAUCCCAUAAAACCGAUCGUAGUCCGGAUCGCAGUCUGCAACUCGACUGCGUGAAGUCGGAAUCGCUAGUAAUCGUGAAUCAGAAUGUCACGGUGAAUACGUUCCCGGGCCUUGUACACACCGCCCGUCACACCAUGGGAGUGGGUUGCUCCAGAAGUA
This 466-nucleotide ribosomal RNA is filed under the name Stutzerimonas stutzeri. RNAcentral's name for it is "bacterial SSU rRNA". It matches the Rfam family "Bacterial small subunit ribosomal RNA", at positions 963 to 1428 of the family's 1533-position model. Lineage: Bacteria; Pseudomonadati; Pseudomonadota; Gammaproteobacteria; Pseudomonadales; Pseudomonadaceae. The record is from RNAcentral.